RNAcentral lists this ribosomal RNA (253 nucleotides) under uncultured bacterium. RNAcentral describes it as "partial 16S ribosomal RNA". It matches the Rfam family "Bacterial small subunit ribosomal RNA", at positions 524 to 776 of the family's 1533-position model. The record is from RNAcentral.
UACGAAGGAUUCGAGCGUUAUCCGGAUUUAUUGGGUUUAAAGGGUGCGUAGGCGGCCUAUUAAGUCAGUGCUGAAAUAUCCCGGCUUAACCGGGAGGGUGGCAUUGAUACUGAUGGGCUUGAGUAGAGUUGAGGUUGGCGGAAUUGACGAUGUAGCGGUGAAAUGCUUAGAUAUCGUCAAGAACACCUAUUGCGAAGGCAGCUAACUAAGCUCAAACUGACGCUGAGGCACGAAAGUGUGGGGAUCAAACAGG